CCUACGGGAGGCUGCAGUGAGGAAUAUUGGUCAAUGGGCGUAAGCCUGAACCAGCCAAGUCGCGUGAGGGAUGAAGGUUCUAUGGAUCGUAAACCUCUUUUAUAAGGGAAUAAAGUGUGGGACGUGUCCUAUUUUGUAUGUACCUUAUGAAUAAGGAUCGGCUAACUCCGUGCCAGCAGCCGCGGUAAUACGGAGGAUCCGAGCGUUAUCCGGAUUUAUUGGGUUUAAAGGGUGCGUAGGCGGCCUUUUAAGUCAGCGGUGAAAGUCGGUGGCUCAACCAUAGAAUGGCCGUUGAAACUGGGGGGCUUGAGUAGGUUUGAGGCAGGCGGAAUGCGUGGUGUAGCGGUGAAAUGCUGAGAUAUCACGCAGAACCCCGAUUGCGAAGGCAGCCUGCCGAGCCAUGACUGACGCUGAUGCACGAAAGCGUGGGGAUCAAACAGGAUUAGAUACCCCAGUAGUC
Molecule: ribosomal RNA, 460 nt
Filed under: uncultured bacterium
Lineage: Bacteria
Description: partial 16S ribosomal RNA
Rfam family: Bacterial small subunit ribosomal RNA
Source: RNAcentral